RNAcentral lists this long non-coding RNA (429 nucleotides) under Mytilus galloprovincialis (Mediterranean mussel). The record is from RNAcentral. Lineage: Eukaryota; Metazoa; Mollusca; Bivalvia; Mytilida; Mytilidae.
CAAAUUGAAAACUGUACCUACACGCCUUAUUUUUAGUCCAGAUGUUUAGUAUUCGUAUUGUUAUCUUAGAAAGUCUUACUGAUUAAAAUACUACAAUUUAGUAGUGUCAAUCCUGUGAUUAUGACCCGUGUAUAUAGCAUAUUAAUCCUGAAUACACUGUUUGGUGGUGCGCCUGUCAGAUGCGGAACGUACAGAUAAGGUAAUAGGUAAAAGGUGAAUAUACUAUUGGUAUCGGUAUCGGACUCGAUCCGGAACUUCUUAAUUAUUGGCAAUACUAAUUACGUGGAAAACAAAAGGGCCUGGAGUGGUGUAAUUUUUAAUCUACACCUUUGUACUAUAUUAGUUAUAUAUAAAGUUGAAUUCUUUGAUUCGUCGUUUUUACGUGAUGACGGCUGACAAAUUGGACCUCGUUAUUUUAGUAUUAUAGAU